UACAAGAAAACGUUUUUAAUUUUUAAACCUGUUUGGUUGCUGAGAAAAUUUUAAACCAGGGACCGCCCAUUUCAGUUUCUCUGGACUGGAAGGUUCCAAACGGUGGGGCUCAGACCUCUUUGACCUUCCGGGCUGUCUGCUUGAGUCCCAACACUGUUUAUGAUCACGAGACCUCCAAUUUCGUUGAGUUCUAUUCCAUUCGCCUCUUUUAUUCUUCCUGUCUUUGAAUUUCUCGCUCUCUUCUUGUGCCUCUGCUCGUUAGGGUUUUCUGAAUGCUGAUAAGUUUGCCUAUUUCCGUACCUCAACUCCUAAUGUAGAAAAUGCAUGUUCUCUGUUUUCCACUUUUUGGGUUUUUGGCUUCUAAUCCUGUUUGUUUGAAAGGAAAAGAAAUAAAUUCCAGGAAAAUUUGGGAGCGAAUAAAACUAAAUAAAUACUUAUCAUUCUCAUUUUGUCAGUUUAUGAAUGUUAUUGUUUUUUCUUUAACACUUUCUGAGUAUGCCAAUGUUUCUUUAUUGUUUCUUUGUUGGUUAGCAAUGGUUGGAGUAGAAAUAAGGUGUGGAUUCUACCCCAAAGGGGUUUUUAUGCACGCAGGACAAUGCUAUAUAGCCCAACUAUUUUCCCCAACUUAUGGUCAUUCUCAAGUUUUAGAUUCUAUCACAUUGUAGUGUUUUUAAUGCAAGAUGUGGUGUGCGUAUCAUGUGCCAUUUAGGCUGGGAGAAAUAGUUGGGGUUAGUAGCAUUUUCCAUAAUUCCAUGUUUGUAUGUCUGUGUGCAUGUAAAUGUAGAUUAGUAGAUGUAUGCAAAUGUAUGCAUGCAUGGUGGAGAAUCUGUAACCAUUGUUGCACAUGCAAUUGGUGCCUGCAAGCAUGUUUGCAAAUGUAGAUGUAUUUAUGUAUGUAAAGUAUGUUAGAGAAUCUGCAGCCAUGCUUGCAAAUGUGUAGUUGGUGCCCGGAGAUCAAAUUCUAGUAGGAGACUGCUGCUAACGGAAAAUCCAGUCAGUGUGGCGUCUAUUUCAUUUCUGUUAUCGUAUCUUGAACAGGAGUAGAAAUUCAUACUGCUGAGAGCACAAUAAAGUAGAGAAAAUGCACUUCAACUUUGAUGCCUUAAGACUGAACUUUGUUAGCAUUAGAGAAUUUAAUGGUGCAUAGUUGUUUGGGUAACAUAUUCAUUUUCCAUAUCUUAUGAUAAUUAUAGAUAGGGUUGAGUCUGGCCUUCUUCAUAUUCUUCUACUUGUGCUGCAGAACAUUAUGCUUAGCUUCAGUUUCCAAGCCCAAUGACAAUGACCUGGGUGGGAUUUGAAUAUUGGUUUUAUUAGCUUUCUUACUACGCAUUUUUCUUUCAAAUGAGACAACAGCACCUCACAUGAAAAGAAAGUGAGACUGCUUCACAUGAAACUGUUGAAUUAUUCAACGAAGAUGUAAGCCAUUAUGGAUAUUGACACAAUGGGAGUUGAUCUGUUUCCCACUUUCAGAAUGUUGACUUUGAUCCUCUCUACCACGAUAUUAGAUGACUGUGGGACAACCUAUGGAAGCUUAUGACGACUGCAUUUCUAAUUUUCUGGAGGCCCAAACACGCAAGCGCACCUCUUCUUUAAAGAGAAUCUUCCCCCUGAAAACUUUUCAAAGGAGGUAGCCUUAAAUUUAUAGUUUCUCCAAACUAGCUAGUACGAUAAAUGAUCUUUUGCAACAUUCAUUCAUGUGUGUGCACAGCAUUCAUUUUUUCUUGAAGUUGCUCUCUCUUCUGGUUUAGAUGCACAAUAGAUCUAGAACAUAUCCAAUUUAUGAGAUAGUCAAAGAAUUAUAUAGCAGUUUCCCCUUUUUUGCUUCUUGCCUUGUGAACUUCCUUCUAGGCACUUUAAUUUUGUGUCAGUGUUGAGUUGCUAUAGCUCAGUGCUCACCUUUGUUGGCUUGCAUAAACUGAACUCUCUCUUAUGUUUUUUUCCUUUUUUUUUCACAAUGGAAAUUGACCUUUAAAAUUUUAUAGGCAUAACUUCAGAUUCCUAAACUGGUUCUCCAUAAGAUAAGGCAACGUAACCGACUCGAUCUUGAGCUUGAUGAAUAUGCUCACAAUACCUUUGCAAACAAUACAAGCCUAUAAUGCAAAUUUUUGUUACCACAGUGCACAAUUCCAUACAUAUAUACAUACAUCAUACCUGUGUGGCAGGAUGCAUAAAAUAUAUGUAUUGUGUCUGUUUUUCUUCCAAUUGAUAAAUGUACAUUCAACCAUGAAUUUUUAGUUUUGUAAAAAAUGGGCCUGUGAACUGAAAGUGUAACUGUGGUGGAAGAAAAUGCUUUGUGAUGGUUUCAGAAAUUGAAUUCUUUUUUGUAGGUGUUCAUGUUUUGAAAGUGUUCAGAUGGUUUCCAGGUGGGGAAUUUCAUCUAACCACAACUUGUAAAUUCUAUUGUAAUGGGGCUUUGGGACUGAAAUAGCAGAUUGUUGUUGGUAAUUGUAUAUGAUGCCUUAGAUUUUAAAAUACAGAAAUCCUGUUUUAAGCAUUCACCUUUGUUAGUGCCCAGAUGGUUGCUUGACCUCAAAGGGAUUUAUGGCAGCAUCAUGGUUAUUUUCAUUGUCCAAAUCUUUUCCUGACUGUUUCUCCAACAUGAGAGCUGCUUGGGUUCAUUGCACAGUUACAAUAACUCAUAGAUAUUCAUAUUUUGUACCAAGCUUUUAUCUUGCCUGUCCACAUGCAGACAUGAACUGACAAUUUCUCUCUAGUGGCCACCUCUUACAAACUGUUUAUGCCGACCUGUAAAUUUGUAUGGAUUUUGCUAAGGUUAGUUGACCACACGCGCUUGGGCGACUGACCAUAGCAUAUUCCAGUGUUCUCUGCAGCUAAGGGUUUACAUGCUUUGAUGACAGGAGAAGCGGGAGAGUACAUUGAACAGCUCAUAUGGCACAGUCUUUGUCAUUUUG
Non-coding RNA from Prunus avium (sweet cherry), 2912 nucleotides. Lineage: Eukaryota; Viridiplantae; Streptophyta; Magnoliopsida; Rosales; Rosaceae. The record is from RefSeq and is a predicted model, not a curated record.